AUGAGCAUGUAAAACAGUAAUAAGAAGCAUAUAAAAUGGUUGGACAGAGUGAUAUUCAGAUCCAACAGCAGGUUAACCUAGAAGAAAUUCCAACCAUUUUAUUAGCAAAGAAGAUUUUUGUUUGAAUGAAAAUGCU
Molecule: long non-coding RNA, 136 nt
Organism: Telopea speciosissima
Lineage: Eukaryota; Viridiplantae; Streptophyta; Magnoliopsida; Proteales; Proteaceae
Exons: 4
Source: RefSeq, a predicted model, not a curated record